Molecule: ribosomal RNA, 1516 nt
Filed under: metagenome
Description: bacterial SSU rRNA
Rfam family: Bacterial small subunit ribosomal RNA
Source: RNAcentral
AGAGUUUGAUUCUGGCUCAGAACGAACGCUGGCAGCGUGGAUUAGGCAUGCAAGUCGAACGUGAAGCCGUUGAACAAUCUUUCGGGAGAGUGAUUCGGUGGAAAGUGGCGGAAGGGUGAGUAACGCGUGGGUGAGCUGUCUCGAAGUUGGGGACAACCAGAUGAAAAUCUGGCUAAUACCGAAUGUGGUCUUCUGGCGCAUGUCAGGAUGACUAAAGGUGGGGAUUCUUCGGAACCUGCCGCUUUGAGAGGUGCCCGCGUGCCAUCAGCUUGUUGGUAGGGUAAUGGCCUACCAAGGCUUACGGCUAGCCGGCCUGAGAGGGUGAUCGGCCACACUGGGACUGAGACACUGCCCAGACUCCUACGGGAGGCUGCAGUCGAGGAUCAUUCGCAAUGCGCGAAAGCGUGACGAUGCGACGCUGCGUGGGGGAUGAAGGCCUUCGGGUCGUAAACUCCUGUCAUGAGGGAACAGUAUCCCUGUAAUUAAUAGUUGCGGGGCUCGAUGGUACCUCAAGAGGAAGCCACGGCUAACUCUGUGCCAGCAGCCGCGGUAAUACAGAGGUGGCGAGCGUUGUUCGGAUUUACUGGGCGUAAAGGGUGCGUAGGUGGUUUUGUGUGUCGGAUGUGAAAUCCCAUGGCUCAACUGUGGAAUUGCAUUCGAAACUGCGGAACUAGAGUGCAGGAUGGGAGAGCGGAAUUCUUGGUGUAGCGGUGAAAUGCGUUGAUAUCAAGAAGAACACCGGUGGCGAAGGCGGCUCUCUGGAAUGCUACUGACACUGAGGCACGAAAGCUGGGGGAGCGAACAGGAUUAGAUACCCUGGUAGUCCCAGCCGUAAACGGUGCACACUUGGUGUGGGGAGAUUUAACCCUCUCCGUGCCGGAGUUAACGCGUUAAGUGUGCCGCCUGGGGAGUACGGCCGCAAGGCUAAAACUCAAAGAAAUUGACGGGGGCCCGCACAAGCGGAGGAGCAUGUGGCUUAAUUCGAUGCAACGCGAAGAACCUUACCAGGGCUUGACAUGGGGACCCUUCGGGGGUGGUAGCGAAAGUUACCUUUACCAUCACAGGUGCUGCAUGGCUGUCGUCAGUUCGUGCCGUGAGGUGUUGGGUUAAGUCCCGUAACGAACGCAACCCUUGUGGCUAGUUGCCACCGGUGGUGAUGAGCCGCCGAGCACUCUAGCCAGACUGCCCGUACAAGCGGGAGGAAGGUGGGGAUGACGUCAAGUCAGUAUGGCCCUUACGUCCUGGGCUGCACACGUGCUACAAUGGUCGGUACAGUGGGAUGCAAUACCGCGAGGUGGAGCAAAUCCCCAAAGCCGCCCUCAGUUCGGAUUGAAGUCUGCAACUCGACUUCAUGAAGUUGGAUUCGCUAGUAACGGCGCAUCAGCUACGGCGCCGUGAAUACGUUCCCGGGCCUUGUACACACCGCCCGUCACAUCAUGAAAGCCGUCUGCACCCGAAGUCGCUGAGCCAACCAUUUAUGGAGGCAGGUGCCGAAGGUGUGGGUGGUGAUUGGGAC